ACCACUGGGCGUGUGCCGCCCCUGGGGGAGGUCACCUUCACGGCGUCGUGAGCAUGGGCGAUGGGAGGGGGCGCUGAGGCCUCGCCCUUGGGAAGCAGGAGCUGGGAGACAUUUAUGCAGUGUGUGAUUCUUUCUAAAACAACUCCCUGGAAGAGAGGACAUUUAAUUCAACAAUUUAUUGGCCACCUACUGUGCACCAGGCAGUGAACUUGGAACUGGGGCUACUGGGUUACAGCAGUGACCAAGACAGAGGUCCCUGUUCUUAAGGAGCAAGUGAGGGCAACAGAAAAGAGCAGAAGUCAGCUGUCAUGCGAGGGCACUCAAGCAGCCCUGUGGAAAGCUCUACGUGGUGAGAAACUGAAGCCUCCUGCCAACACCAACAAGGAACUGAGACCUACUUCCAACAGCCAUCUGAGUGAUCGAUCCAUCCUGGAAUCAGAUCCUCCAGCCCCAGUC
RNAcentral lists this long non-coding RNA (456 nucleotides) under Homo sapiens (human). RNAcentral's name for it is "non-protein coding NRSN2-AS1:25". The record is from RNAcentral. Lineage: Eukaryota; Metazoa; Chordata; Mammalia; Primates; Hominidae.